This 261-nucleotide long non-coding RNA is filed under the name Mustela putorius furo (domestic ferret). RNAcentral's name for it is "lncRNA (ENSMPUG00000024711.1)". The record is from RNAcentral. Lineage: Eukaryota; Metazoa; Chordata; Mammalia; Carnivora; Mustelidae.
UUAGACACAUGUUUCAGUCUUCUCAUUUCCUCCCCAGGAAGAAGCUGGGAGCUGGGAGUUUUUCCCUGAUGGUGUCAUUUUCAAAAGGGGGAAGAACUAAAAUCUCCACAGUCAGUCCUGUGGUCAGAGUGGGCGCUGGAGACCAGGGGAAGUUGUGAGGCUCACCAGCGCACCUUGAGCUGUGGGAACGGCGGUGAGGUAGGAAUUUCUGAACUUGGGUUACAUUUGCAUCCUGGAUCCUCAGCUUUGACAUCUGAAUCC